AAAUAACUAAAAGGAGGGUGGUUUACGGGUAUGAACCCGGAUCCGAAUCCGAACCCGGGGUGCUAGACACUUCGGCAGGGUCGGCCCUGGGAGAAUGUUAAAAUUUAGAUUUUAUAUAUAUAUUGUGAUGAAUUUUAAAAGAAAAUAUGGUUUUUGAAUAUUAGGUGCUGCGAGGGAUUUGCGAAAUUAAUUGGAUUUGUUGUGGAUCGCAUUCGCAAGGUAAGUGAUGUAACCUCUUUUCUAGAUUUAU
RNAcentral lists this long non-coding RNA (250 nucleotides) under Phoenix dactylifera (date palm). RNAcentral's name for it is "long non-coding RNA (PDAC_LNC020628)". The record is from RNAcentral. Lineage: Eukaryota; Viridiplantae; Streptophyta; Magnoliopsida; Arecales; Arecaceae.